This 72-nucleotide transfer RNA is filed under the name Bos taurus (domestic cattle). It matches the Rfam family "tRNA". From Rfam's summary of the family: Transfer RNA (tRNA) molecules are approximately 80 nucleotides in length. Their secondary structure includes four short double-helical elements and three loops (D, anti-codon, and T loops). Further hydrogen bonds mediate the characteristic L-shaped molecular structure. tRNAs have two regions of fundamental functional importance: the anti-codon, which is responsible for specific mRNA codon recognition, and the 3' end, to which the tRNAs corresponding amino acid is attached (by aminoacyl-tRNA synthetases). tRNAs cope with the degeneracy of the genetic code in two manners: having more than one tRNA (with a specific anti-codon) for a particular amino acid; and 'wobble' base-pairing, i.e. permitting non-standard base-pairing at the 3rd anti-codon position. RNAcentral also lists the same sequence under 4 other names. Lineage: Eukaryota; Metazoa; Chordata; Mammalia; Artiodactyla; Bovidae. The record is from Rfam by way of RNAcentral.
UCCCUAGUGGCUUACCUGGUAAAGAAUCUGCCUGUAAUGCAGGAGACCUGGGUUUGAUCCCUGGAUUGGGAA